RNAcentral lists this ribosomal RNA (253 nucleotides) under uncultured bacterium. RNAcentral describes it as "partial 16S ribosomal RNA". It matches the Rfam family "Bacterial small subunit ribosomal RNA", at positions 524 to 776 of the family's 1533-position model. The record is from RNAcentral.
UACAGAGGUCUCAAGCGUUGUUCGGAUUCAUUGGGCGUAAAGGGUGCGUAGGCGGCGCGGUAAGUCGGGUGUGAAAUUUCGGAGCUUAACUCCGAAACUGCAUUCGAUACUGCCGUGCUUGAGGACUGGAGAGGAGACUGGAAUUUACGGUGUAGCAGUGAAAUGCGUAGAGAUCGUAAGGAAGACCAGUGGCGAAGGCGGGUCUCUGGACAGUUCCUGACGCUGAGACACGAAGGCCAGGGGAGCAAACGGG